RNAcentral lists this small RNA (27 nucleotides) under Bombyx mori (domestic silkworm). RNAcentral describes it as "ovarian small RNA-37422". The record is from RNAcentral. Lineage: Eukaryota; Metazoa; Arthropoda; Insecta; Lepidoptera; Bombycidae.
UUCGGUCUUCUUGCCCGGGGGGGGCGG